Molecule: long non-coding RNA, 793 nt
Organism: Myiozetetes cayanensis
Lineage: Eukaryota; Metazoa; Chordata; Aves; Passeriformes; Tyrannidae
Exons: 3
Source: RefSeq, a predicted model, not a curated record
AGCUGAAGGAAUGAUUCUGAUCUCACACGAACAGAGAUUUUGCUCUUUCCUCAGUUUUACCAGUUCUAUCCUGAGGCAGACAAGUUGCAUCGAGCAGAGUCUGGUGUUUCUACACUUCAGAGGCAAUACAUUAUGCAGUGGACUUCACCAAAAAUAAUGCAGCUGGCAAGAAUAUUUCCUAUACACUGGCUGCCACAAGAGAGGAGCCCCGAAGAGGAGAUACAAGCACUGCCUGAAACAAUCCCUCAGCCUUGGCCAUAUUGAUCACCACCAUUGGUCUACCCUGGCCUCCAAUCGGGAGGCCUGGAGACACACCAUCUAUAACGCUGCUGCUGCUUUUGAGAACACACGCAGGAUCACUCUCGAGGAGAAAAGACAACGCAGAAAGAAUCGCGUCUCGUCGGUAUCACCUGGGGAGUCUUUCUGCUUUGCCUUCUGCAACCGGACUUGUCUAUCUCGCAUUGGCCUUUUUAGCCAUCAGCGCGCUUGUAGCAAACAUGGGUAGAGCCCUUCUCAAAUCUUCGUUUGCGAAGCCCAGCCAUGAUGAUAGAAAGUGGGGGGAAGAAGAAGGGGGAGAUGUUUGGCGUGAUAGUGUUUGUCUUCCCAAGUCAGUGUGAUGGGGCCCUGCUCUCACUGAGAUGGCUGAACACCUGUUUGUUCAUGGGAAGUGGUGAAUUAAUUGCUUGGUUUGUUUGUUUGCAUGUACAAUUUUUGCAUUCCCUGUUAAACCAUCUUUAUCUCAACCCAAAAGUUUUCCAGCUUUUACUGUUCCAAUUUUCCCUCUGAUCUCACU